GUCGGCAACAUUUUCGUUCAAUUGCUGUUGACGUUUUGAUUUCUGCGUUCAUUGAAUUUCAAUAUCUGUCAGUGGUGAUGCAAAACAGUGUUUACAAUAUUGGCGCAUCUGUUUCUAUGAACGAACGAGAUGAAAUGCCAUCAAUAUGCAAGUUCUCUUGAUAUACCGUCCGGUAAGAGUGCUGAAUUGGUCAAGGAUGCGUAUAAUAUUGGAGAUUGAGCAAGAAGCACAGAAUCCGCUGGAUGUGUUUUUUCCAAGUUAACAGCAAUUGUUGCUGUCUGUUGUUAUCAGCGAGCCGAAAUAAGUAUGUUAGAUAGCCUAAGAUUGGAUAAUUCUGGUCAGAUUUCCCGGGAAACCGUUAUCAUCCCUAAUUCUCAAUUGUACCAUGUUCGAAGGUGCGGUCUGCGAAUAUGUGACCCCUGGGAGAAUUUUUCAUAUUUAGCGUUAGUGUAUACAUAAAUCAUUCUUUAGAAGAAUUGUUGAAAAUUUUUCUGUUUUCUUUAUAUAAUUCUUUUCGGCUGUAUUCUUAUUUCAAUGAUUUUUUUAUGUUUGUAAAUAUUGUUUGCUGGUUUGUGGUAUUACUCCAACGAAAAAUAAAUAUAUACAUCCAUUUUUUAGAAA
Long non-coding RNA from Toxorhynchites rutilus septentrionalis, 621 nucleotides. RefSeq lists it as uncharacterized. Lineage: Eukaryota; Metazoa; Arthropoda; Insecta; Diptera; Culicidae. The transcript has 3 exons. The record is from RefSeq and is a predicted model, not a curated record.